GGAAUAUGCGCUCGUUGAGUGAAACCGUAAGAUAGCGGAGGGACGCCGUUGCGGAGGAAUCCCCCGGGUCCCGUCCCGACGUCAUGCCCAACGCGUGGGGCGGCAAACAAGAUUAGAUACCUUGGUAGUCCACCCCCUAACCGAUUUCAACAAGGUCGUGGGGAGGGGUUUCUUCUCAGUAACGUACUAACGCGUGAAAUUGACCGCCUGGGGAGUACGGCCGCAAGGCUGAAACUCAAAGGAAUUGACGGGGCCCGCACAAGCGCUCGAUGAUGUGGUUUAAUUCGUUGCAACGCGAAAAACCUUACCUACCCUUGACAUGCCAGGAAUCCUGAAGAGAUUUGGGAGUGCUCGAAAGAGAACCUGGACACAGGUGCUGCAUGGCCGUCGUCAGCUCGUGUCGUGAGAUGUUGGGUUAAGUCUGGCAACGAGCGCAACCCUUGUCAUUAGUUGCUACGAAAGGGCACUCUAAUGAGACAGCCGGUGACAAACCGGAGGAAGGUGGGGAUGACGUCAGGUCAUCAUGGCCUUAUGGGUAGGGCUACACACGUCAUACAAUGGCCGGGACAGAGGGCUGCCAACCGCGAGGGGGAGCUAAUCCCAGAAACCGGUCGUAGUCCGGAUCGUAGUCUGCAACUCGGCUGCGUGAAGUCGGAAAUCGCUAGUAAUCGCGGAAGCGCUUGUAA
This 686-nucleotide ribosomal RNA is filed under the name Pelomonas sp. R47. RNAcentral describes it as "bacterial SSU rRNA". It matches the Rfam family "Bacterial small subunit ribosomal RNA", at positions 663 to 1355 of the family's 1533-position model. Lineage: Bacteria; Pseudomonadati; Pseudomonadota; Betaproteobacteria; Burkholderiales; Sphaerotilaceae. The record is from RNAcentral.